This 2089-nucleotide long non-coding RNA is filed under the name Homo sapiens (human). RNAcentral describes it as "HSALNT0225599". Lineage: Eukaryota; Metazoa; Chordata; Mammalia; Primates; Hominidae. The record is from RNAcentral.
UGAGACCACGAAUCCACCGGGAGGAACGAACAACUCCAGAUGUGGUGCCUUAAGAGCUAUAACACUCACUGUGAAGGUCUGCAGCUUUGCUCCUGAGCUAGCUAGACCACGAACCCACCAGCAGGAAAAAACUCCGAACACAUUUGAGCAUCAGAAGGAACAAACUCUGGACACGCCGCCUUUAAGAACUGUGAUAUUCACUGCGACAGUCCGCGGCUUCAUUCUUGAAGUCAGACCAAGAACCCACCAAUUCCGGACAUAGGAAUACUAGCAGGGACUUUCUGGACAUUCGGCUCGGAGUUGGUUAGUUGUUCAGGAUGGUUCAAAGCAAAAGCGGCCUGUAAUAGUUGAAUGAAAGAGAAAUAGUAAAUUCUCCUGCGGGUGGCGAAUCAGGAGGGAAGGUGGAGCCCACAAUCUUUGCAAACUCUCUGGGGAGCCAGGCGGCGCCAGCCUAGCCCGAGGAUGGAGGCUGAGGCCGCCUGUUGAGUCACAGGUUUUGGCAGAGUUCAAAGACUGGGAAGCAAAGUUCAGCCAUGUUGGGCCUUUGGGCUCAUAGAUGAGCAAGGGUACCCCAAUAUGAGGGCUCAGCAAAUUCUGGAACUUAUCAGUUCUGAAGACCUUUAGAGGAGAAGGAGACAAGUAAAAGGAGGAUGUGAGGAACCAGGAAUUGAGAUUUGGCAUUAAUCUUCAUUCUUGUUGCCUAGGGUUGGCCUUGCGUAUUGGCAAUGAAACAGGCUAUUUUUGACAUUGAGUUGUCCAGCAUUCUCUAAGGUAUGUAGUCCUGGAGGGCGCUGCUUAAUGAACCAGAAGUCCUGCCUCUUAAGUACCUCACCAGCUCAAAUGUGUGCAUGUCACCUUGGCGUGAAUCGGAGCAGGCGCUGGUGGAUACCGUUUGGAGGCAUGCCAGCAAGGAGCUCCUUGUGUAGCCUGCCUCUGGAGCCUCAAGUUCAACUUCCAUAGGGCCAAAAGGGGAGUCGGGCUGGGCAGAAGCUCCUGAGAACCAAAGCAAAUGGUCUGAGAGUCUGAGAGUGUAGUGGAGGUAACGUGUUCGUGUCCUCUCUGGCUGCAUCACCCCAAGUCCUUGCAGACUCAAGUAGCCUAUUUGCAAGUUUAAAUAGUUUGAGUCCUGGCCGGUAACAAGAAUACUCUACAGUGGCCCAGAGUCAGGGAUAUAGAGUGGCGACUACUUGGCAGAACUGGAGCUUGCUCAGAUGAAAAGAUAAAUUGUACUGGUUAAACGAAGAUCAAGUGCAGGGUCUGGACUUUGUUUCUAUCUUUCAUGUGGACUCUAUAAGCACCUACACACAGCAUUCUAGAAACACUGCUCCCAUCCCUCCUGUCUCAUGUCAUCCUCCCAAUUCCGGGAGUUGGGGGGCAUACUCUUUCCCUGUGUCAUGUGAGAAAUUCCUUUCUCAUGGGAAGCAGGUGGCAUUCCUGGACUCUCCUUGGCCUGGCCGUUGGUAAGCACAGGAAUUCAAGGUGUCUGAAUCUCUUGUCAAAGGUGGGCUGUAAGGCUCCAGAAGAGGAGGACAGAAAGUGCCUGCAGAGCUCCUGCCUGAGGCCUUUGGAUGGGCCCUGCUGGCUUGCCGUGUGUGUGUGUGUGUGUGUGUGUGUGUGUGUGUGUGUGUGGUGUCGUGCUUAUUUGCCCCAAAUGAGGCAAGAGAGCAGUGAUCAGGUGUCUCCCCAGCAUCUAGUUUCAUGAAGACAAUAGAAGUGGGUCGGAUCAGGCCUGCUGCCAUGCUUGGCUUGCCCAUGUCUCCUAGGAUUGGCUGCCUGGUGGCCAUCCCUUUGCCAUCCCCUUGACUGCCCUGUGAAUGAUGUCCACUCUGAGACCCCAGGCCACUCAGAAAAACUGAAGAUUCUCAAGUUCAGGUGCAGUUAGGGGGCAGGUCCUGGUGGUGGGGGAGCUUUGAUGUUCUGCAGUUGGAGGAUCCUCUUUCAGAAUAGUAAUGCAAUUUGUGAAUUAAUAAAAUUAGGUAUGCAAGAGGAUAUGUAGAAAAGAAAAAUCACAAGCUACACAAUUUUUAAGUUGACAAAACUACGAACAUCACAAAAUAAUAUGAUAUUUUAAAUUAAUUAUCUGCCUGGA